This 1023-nucleotide long non-coding RNA is filed under the name Homo sapiens (human). Its description in RNAcentral is "HSALNT0313849". The record is from RNAcentral. Lineage: Eukaryota; Metazoa; Chordata; Mammalia; Primates; Hominidae.
UCUCUUCCUGAUUGGAUUGUGGCCAGAAUAGCCGCCAUCUUUGGAGCAUGAGAAGGGACACUGAAUGCUAGUCUGGCAAGCCAAAAUAUGAAAGCAAUCUAGAUCCUUGAUGGGUCCCAGCAAACACUGCACACCUCUGAACUGGGCAUCUUGAGACAAUGUUCUGCCUACACAAAAUUCUAAACUGAGAGGAGUGGCUCAGAAGCUCUACUAACAUGGAAUCACAUGUGAUUCAAGAGAGUGCCAAAGGAAACAACAGGACAGAAGGAGACAUGAGGAAGAGAUGGGACAGACAGCACUCAACCCUGAGCAGACGUGAGGGGCAAAAGAAAAGGCAACAUUAAGGACCCAUUCAAGUUUCAAGUCUCAGCGUCCCAGAGGAUGGUGAGGAUACAGCAAAAAUGGAGAGUGCAAAAGGAGAAAGGCAGUUGAAUGUGAAGAUAACGGGGUCUUCGGAGCCUACCUACUAAGUCUGGUGGGAUAACCCUGUUAAAUGGGAAGAGGGAGGCCUUUCUUGGUACAUUUUAGGAGGAAAAAAAUGGCUGCCUGGAAAGUUCAUAUACCAGCAGCAAAAAGAAAAGCAGAAUGGGAUGAGAGAUUAUGAAAGCCCUUCACGAGGAGGUUAAGUUCUGGCGGGUGUGCCCAUCAGAGACCAGCAGAGACAACUGGCUCUCCGGCCUGAGUUCGCCUACAUCAGAACUAGCACAUCUCUCUGUCUAAUUUCUAAUCACUGUAAAUAUGUUCAAAAUGAAAGAAAAAAGUAAUCUCACACCCCAAUAAACUGGAUCAGAUGUGUGUGCUUCAGUGGGUAGUGGUAAAUCUACAUAUGGAAAACUGUAUUCAGAAACGCCUGACUAUAGCACUUAAAUUCUAUGGCACACAUGGAAUGAAUUGAGAAGAUAGCCAAACUUACAAAUAUUCCACCCACACUGUGUAAUAUGGCAUCCUGAUGCGUUCGGGAAAGUGAAGAACAAUGUGGUGGGACACCCCCUCCACGGCUAAACGUGGACACCUUGAGCAUGG